Molecule: long non-coding RNA, 3024 nt
Organism: Myxocyprinus asiaticus (Chinese sucker)
Lineage: Eukaryota; Metazoa; Chordata; Actinopteri; Cypriniformes; Catostomidae
Exons: 3
Source: RefSeq, a predicted model, not a curated record
AAAUAUUUGGCUAACCCAUAAGCCAUAACACCAAAUUCAGAAUUACUGCACCGUAAAUGAAUUUUAUCCUUUACAAAUGGGUCUAAUACUUUUCAGAAAGGUUCUAAUUCAGCUAAGGAAGGUUCUGAUUCAGCUUAGGAGGGUUCUGAUUCGGCUCAAGAGGGCUCUGAUUCGGCUCAGGAAGGUUAUGAUUCAGCUUAGGAAAGUUCUGAUUCAGCUCAAAAAAAGGUUCUGAUUCAAUUCCAGAAGGUUCUGAUUCAGCUCAGAAAAGGUUCUGAUUCGGCUUGGGAAAGAUUCUGACUUAAUUCAGGAAAGGUUCUGAUUCAGCCCCAGGUAGGUUGUGAUUCAACUCAGGAAAGUUUCUGAUUUAGCUUUCUAAAUUUCUGGUUCAGUUUAGAAUGUUUCUGAUUCCAGUCAGAAAGGUUCCCUUUCUGCUCUAAAAAGUUUCUGAUUUUGCUCAGGAAAGAUAUAGAUUUCAUUUGAGGAAGUUUUAAUUCUGCUCAGGAAAAUUCUGAAGAAUGAGUAGAGCUGGAGCUCAGUGGUAGAGAUGUUUCUGAGAGAUAAUCUGCUGUCAUACUGGAUCCAUUCAUCACCCACUGAGAGACCAGAGAAGGGAGGAGGGAAAGGGAGAGAAAUUGAGAGAAGAAACAGUGGCUUGAGCACACACACACACAUGUACACAUCUGGAGGGACAUUCCUGGUUGUCUGGGUCUAGACUUUCAUGUAUCUCCUGAGUGAUAUCAUGGAUGUGAUGUCAUACCUCUGCUCUGAGAUUAGGCUCUCUUGAGAUGAGCAAAUUCUUCGUAAAACCGAUCACCGGCAGGUGCAUGCUGGAUAGAGAUCUCCGACUUGUUGUGAUGUCAUGGUGACGUAUGUCAAAAAUACUCUUAUGAGAGCGAGCCGGAGCCAGGCGGCGCAGUUGCAUUUUCCCAGCAGCGAAAACUUCAUGCAUGAUGGGAAACAACUUGCUGAUCACACAGCUUAAUGCUCAUUGGUUUAAACAACUCUGAUGUUUUGUUCUCUUCUGAAAUAUUAGAUUUUGUUAACUCUGAAAUCAUGUUUUUAUGUGCUUACAUUAUGUGUGAAUAUCCCCAACACUGUCAGUGAUCUCUGUAUGGGAAAAUGUGAUUGUUAUCAUACUUCUAAAAUGUCUGAAAUAUGUCUUUUAUUAAACUAAUAAAAGGAAGAAAAAGACAUGGCUUUUUGGUGGAAUUAAAUUGCGAUUGUGUAUUAGGUGACAUGUUUAUAUAAAUUUUCAUUUAAAAGCGACAGAAUUUAAAUUACAUCUACUUUAUCAGCAACCAAGCACAUGAACGCAAAUCACGCACAUAUCUGCCUGACUGCCUUUGAUCUCGUAGGUAGCUGAUCCACUAUGAGAAGUGAGAACUGUCCGACUUGAUACUUAUUUCACUCCUCCCCUGACUGCAGCCGCAUACUCUUGUCUACUUUAAAGGCGAGGUGUUUUGGCAUCUCAAACUUUAAUUGUGAUAUGAUCGGCCAUGCAAAUGAUGUAAGAAUGUAAAUAAGCUACAACUAGUAAAAAGUAUGGAAUAAAAUAAAAUUUCUCUUCAAAAAUAUGACAUGGUUUUAAAUAACUUGUUGCAACAGAUGCACUCAUAUAACAUACCAUUUGGAAGAUUAACUAGGUUUCACAAAAAAAGUUUUUUAUUUUUUAUAAUCCCCUUUUAUCCCAAUUUGGAAUGCCCAAUUCCCACUACUUAGUAGGUCCUUGUGGUGGCGUGGUUACUCCCCUCAAUCCGGGUGAUGGAGGACAAGUCCCAGUUGCCUCAGCUUCUGAGACCGUCAAUCCGUGCAUCUUAUCAUGUGGCUUGUUGUGCAUGACACCGCGGAGACUCCGCAUGUGGAGGCUCAUGCUGCUCUCCACGAUCCACGUACAACUUACCACGCGCGCCAUUGAGACGAGAGACCCUAAUCGCAACCACGAGGAGGUUACCCCAUGUGACUUUACCCUCCCUAGCAACCAGGCCAAUUUAGUUGCUUAGGAGACCUGGCUGGAGUCACUCAGCGCACCCUGGAUUCGAACUCGCGACUCCAGGGGUGGUAGUCGGCGUCAAUACUUGCUGAGCUACCCAGGCCACCUCACAAAAAAAGUUUAAUCAUUAUACCAAAAUCUUUGUUGCAACAACUUUGAAUAUGAAAUGCAUUUUAUGCAUUUUUAACUGAUAAUUUUAAAUGCUGAUGUGUGCUAAUAGUUAGUUUUGUCAACUUUUAGGAGAACACUAGCAUUUUCUUCAGCGCUAAUUGACUUGGACUAAGCCAUAAAACUCCAAUUCUGAUGUCUUGGGAUCUUUAAAGACAACUUCUCUUUUGUUGUUCACAUCUUCUCCCCUCAUGAAGUUUACUUUAUUUACAUUUAUGCAUUUGGCAGACGCUUUUAUCCAAAGCGACUUACAGUGCCCUUAUUACAGGGACAGUUCCCUUGGAGCAACCUGGAUUUAAGUGCCUUGCUCAAGGACACAGUGGUGGUGGCUGUGGGGAUCGAACCAGCAACCUUCUACCAGUUAUGUGCAUUAGCCCACUACGCCACCACCACACACACUUUAAUCCUGCAGCUCAGUACACAAACAGUGCCAGGUGUGGCUUGGGUGACUCAUCAUGAAUAUUAAUUUCAUUAUGUGACGUUUGCUGUAACUGAUUUUGUGAAAGGUGGACGUUGGUUGGUGAGCACUAGCCGUAGGAUUACCACUCACCGUUUGUUUUAUGAGGCCAGCUAAAAAAAAAAAUCCCUUCGCACUAGGGCCAAGCUGAAUAAACUUCUCUGAAAUCUAAUUAUCUCCCAAAUUUAGUUAUUUCUAAAAACGGGGCAACAUGAUCUCUGCUAAAAGAGUGUCAGACAUUCGAUUUAGAGGCACUAGAUAUGAUCUCCCUGCCAGUGUCUGAGCUGUUGUGGCUCCUGUGCAGUUUGAUCAUAAAUGACGUUGUUUACUCCUCGAACCCUCAGGGGUCAUUCCAGUGUUAGUGUGUUGCUAGGUAACUAACCCUCUAUUGUGUAUGUUUGUGUGU